AGGACGGUGCUGGGGAGCCAUCCCCGAGGGCAGGCGGUGACCGCAUGGCUGAUCCCCGGAGGAAAAUCCACUUCAAGGUGAUCCGGAGCCCCGGGGACCUCCUGCAGUUCAUCGAGGAGCUCAAGGAGACCACCAGGAAGGCCAAGGGCAAGGCCCGCCAGGAGGAGGAGGAGGAGGAGGAGGAGGAGG
Empidonax traillii (willow flycatcher) is the source of this 189-nucleotide long non-coding RNA. RefSeq lists it as uncharacterized. The transcript is spliced from 4 exons. The record is from RefSeq and is a predicted model, not a curated record. Lineage: Eukaryota; Metazoa; Chordata; Aves; Passeriformes; Tyrannidae.